RNAcentral lists this ribosomal RNA (526 nucleotides) under Fusarium culmorum. RNAcentral describes it as "eukaryotic LSU rRNA". The stretch from base 156 to 309 matches the Rfam family "5.8S ribosomal RNA". The record is from RNAcentral. Lineage: Eukaryota; Fungi; Ascomycota; Sordariomycetes; Hypocreales; Nectriaceae.
GGGAGAAUAGGAAGUUUAACUCCCCAACCCCUGUGAACAUACCUUAUGUUGCCUCGGCGGAUCAGCCCGCGCCCCGUAAAAAGGGACGGCCCGCCGCAGGAACCCUAAACUCUGUUUUUAGUGGAACUUCUGAGUAUAAAAAACAAAUAAAUCAAAACUUUCAACAACGGAUCUCUUGGUUCUGGCAUCGAUGAAGAACGCAGCAAAAUGCGAUAAGUAAUGUGAAUUGCAGAAUUCAGUGAAUCAUCGAAUCUUUGAACGCACAUUGCGCCCGCCAGUAUUCUGGCGGGCAUGCCUGUUCGAGCGUCAUUUCAACCCUCAAGCCCAGCUUGGUGUUGGGAGCUGCAGUCCUGCUGCACUCCCCAAAUACAUUGGCGGUCACGUCGAGCUUCCAUAGCGUAGUAAUUUACACAUCGUUACUGGUAAUCGUCGCGGCCACGCCGUUAAACCCCAACUUCUGAAUGUUGACCUCGGAUCAGGUAGGAAUACCCGCUGAACUUAAGCAUAUCAAGAGCCCGGGAGGAAA